CGCGUGAGUAACCUGCCCUGGAGUGGGGAAUAACAGCUGGAAACAGCUGCUAAUACCGCAUAAUGCAGUUGGGCCGCAUGGCUCUGACUGCCAAAGAUUUAUCGCUCUGGGAUGGACUCGCGUCUGAUUAGCUAGUUGGUGGGGCAACGGCCCACCAAGGCGACGAUCAGUAGCCGGACUGAGAGGUUGGCCGGCCACGUUGGGACUGAGACACGGCCCAGACUCCUACGGAAGGCAGCAG
Molecule: ribosomal RNA, 241 nt
Filed under: uncultured bacterium
Lineage: Bacteria
Description: partial 16S ribosomal RNA
Rfam family: Bacterial small subunit ribosomal RNA
Source: RNAcentral